GGAUUGCCCUAGUAACGGCGAGUGAAGCGGCAACAGCUCAAAUUUGAAAUCUGGCCCUUUUAGGGUCCGAGUUGUAAUUUGUAGAGGGCGCUUUGGUGUUGGCUGCGGUCUAAGUUCCUUGGAACAGGACGUCACAGAGGGUGAGAAUCCCGUACGUGGUCGACAGUCUUCACCGUGUAAAGCCCCUUCGACGAGUCGAGUUGUUUGGGAAUGCAGCUCUAAAUGGGAGGUAAAUUUCUUCUAAAGCUAAAUAUUGGCCAGAGACCGAUAGCGCACAAGUAGAGUGAUCGAAAGAUGAAAAGCACUUUGGAAAGAGAGUCAAAAAGCACGUGAAAUUGUUGAAAGGGAAGCGCUUGCAAUCAGACUUGCCUGUAGUUGCUCAUCUGGACUCUUGUCCGGUGCACUCUUCUGCGGGCAGGCCAGCAUCAGUUCAGGCGGCUGGAUAAAGGCCUCUAUCACGUAUCUUCCUUCGGGAUGACCUUAUAGGGGAGGUGUAAUGCAGCCAGCCUGGAUUGAGGUCCGCGCAUCUGCUAGGAUGCUGGCGUAAUGAUUGUAAGCGGCCCGUCUUGAAACACGGACCAAGGAGUCUAACAUCUAUGCGAGUGUUUGGGUGUCAAGCCCGGACGCGCAAUGAAAGUGAACGGAGGUGGGAACCCUUACGGGUGCACCAUCGACCGAUCCUGAUGUCUUCGGAUGGAUUUGAGUAAGAGCAUAGCUGUUGGGACCCGAAAGAUGGUGAACUAUGCCUGAAUAGGGUGAAGCCAGAGGAAACUCUGGUGGAGGCUCGCAGCGGUUCUGACGUGCAAAUCGAUCGUCAAAUUUGGGCAUAGGGGCGAA
Molecule: ribosomal RNA, 837 nt
Filed under: Nigrograna mackinnonii
Lineage: Eukaryota; Fungi; Ascomycota; Dothideomycetes; Pleosporales; Nigrogranaceae
Description: LSU rRNA
Rfam family: Eukaryotic large subunit ribosomal RNA
Source: RNAcentral